Molecule: ribosomal RNA, 507 nt
Filed under: uncultured bacterium
Lineage: Bacteria
Description: partial 16S ribosomal RNA
Source: RNAcentral
GGAGUUAGCCGGUGCUUCUUCUGUGAGUGAUGUCCUUCCUGCCGGCUAUUAACCCGCAGGCCUUCUUCCUCACUGAAAGUGCUUUACAACCCGAAGGCCUUCUUCACACACGCGGCAUGGCUGGAUCAGGGUUGCCCCCAUUGUCCAAUAUUCCCCACUGCUGCCUCCCGUAGGAGUCUGGGCCGUGUCUCAGUCCCAGUGUGGCUGAUCAUCCUCUCAGACCAGCUACGGAUCGUCGCCUUGGUGAGCCGUUACAUCACCAACCAGCUAAUCCGACAUAGGCUCAUCCGAUAGCGCGAGGCCCGAAGGUCCCCCGCUUUCCCCCGUAGGGCGUAUGCGGUAUUAGCCUGGGUUUCCCCAGGUUAUCCCCCACUACCGGGCAGAUUCCUAUGCAUUACUCACCCGUCCGCCGCUCGCCACCAGGGAGCAAGCUCCCCGUGCUGCCGCUCGACUUGCAUGUGUUAGGCCUGCCGCCAGCGUUCAAUCUGAGCCAGAAUCGAACCCUGA